Molecule: ribosomal RNA, 107 nt
Filed under: Erinaceus europaeus (western European hedgehog)
Lineage: Eukaryota; Metazoa; Chordata; Mammalia; Eulipotyphla; Erinaceidae
Source: RNAcentral
AUCUACAGCCAUACAACCCUGAACAUGCCCGAUCUCAUCUGAUCUCAGAAGCUAAGCAGGACUGGACCUGAUUAGUACUUGGAUGGGAGAAACUGAAGCCAAAGGAA